ACGGUGUCUUCGGACAUAGUGGCGCACGGGUGCGUAACACGCCUGCUACCUACCUUACAUUGGGGGAUAGCCUUUCGAAAGGGAGAUUAAUACCGCAUAAGACAGUAGCUGGGCAUCCAGCAGCUGUUAAAGAUUUAUCGAUGUAAGAUGGGCAUGCGACCAAUUAGUUAGUUGGCGAGGUAACGGCUCACCAAGACUAUGAUUGGUAGGGGAACUGAGAGGUCAAUCCCCCACACUGGCACUGAGAUACGGGCCAGACUCCUACGGGAGGCAGCAGUAGGGAAUAUUGGGCAAUGGACGCAAGUCUGACCCAGCCAUGCCGCGUGCAGGAUGAAGGCGUUAUGCGUCGUAAACUGCUUUUAUACAGGAAGAAACGACUCUUGCGAGAGGCAUUGACGGUACUGUAUGAAUAAGCACCGGCUAACUCCGUGCCAGCAGCCGCGGUAAUACGGAGGGUGCAAGCGUUGUCCGGAUUUAUUGGGUUUAAAGGGUGCGCAGGUGGUUUAUUAAGUCAGUGGUGAAAGACGGUCGCUCAACGAUUGCAGUGCCAUUGAAACUAGUAGACUUGAGUAAAGUAGAGGUGGGCGGAAUUGAUAGUGUAGCGGUGAAAUGCAUAGAUAUUAUCAAGAACUCCAAUUGCGUAGGCAGCUCACUUGGCUUUUACUGACACUCAUGCACGAAAGUGUGGGUAUCAAACAGGAUUAGAUACCCUGGCAGUCCACACUGUAAACGAUGAUAACUAGGUGUCGGCCGAAUCUGGUCGGUGCCACAGCGAAAGCGUUAAGUUAUCCACCUGGGGAGUACGCC
RNAcentral lists this ribosomal RNA (807 nucleotides) under uncultured bacterium. RNAcentral describes it as "bacterial SSU rRNA". It matches the Rfam family "Bacterial small subunit ribosomal RNA", at positions 66 to 886 of the family's 1533-position model. The record is from RNAcentral.